ACGCUAGCUACAGGCUUAACACAUGCAAGUCGAGGGGCAGCAUAGUCUUAGCUUGCUAAGGCCGAUGGCGACCGGCGCACGGGUGAGUAACACGUAUCCAACCUGCCGUCUACUCUUGGACAGCCUUCUGAAAGGAAGAUUAAUACAAGAUGGCAUCAUGAGUCCGCAUGUUCACAUGAUUAAAGGUAUUCCGGUAGACGAUGGGGAUGCGUUCCAUUAGAUAGUAGGCGGGGUAACGGCCCACCUAGUCUUCGAUGGAUAGGGGUUCUGAGAGGAAGGUCCCCCACAUUGGAACUGAGACACGGUCCAAACUCCUACGGGAGGCAGCAGUGAGGAAUAUUGGUCAAUGGGCGAGAGCCUGAACCAGCCAAGUAGCGUGAAGGAUGACUGCCCUAUGGGUUGUAAACUUCUUUUAUAAAGGAAUAAAGUCGGGUAUGGAUACCCGUUUGCAUGUACUUUAUGAAUAAGGAUCGGCUAACUCCGUGCCAGCAGCCGCGGUAAUACGGAGGAUCCGAGCGUUAUCCGGAUUUAUUGGGUUUAAAGGGAGCGUAGAUGGAUGUUUAAGUCAGUUGUGAAAGUCUGCGGCUCAACCGUAAAAUUGCAGUUGAUACUGGAUAUCUUGAGUGCAGUUGAGGCAGGCGGAAUUCGUGGUGUAGCGGUGAAAUGCUUAGAUAUCACGAAGAACUCCGAUUGCGAAGGCAGCCUGCUAAGCUGCAACUGACAUUGAGGCUCGAAAGUGUGGGUAUCAAACAGGAUUAGAUACCCUGGUAGUCCACACGGUAAACGAUGAAUACUCGCUGUUUGCGAUAUACUGCAAGCGGCCAAGCGAAAGCGUUAAGUAUUCCACCUGGGGAGUACGCCGGCAACGGUGAAACUCAAAGGAAUUGACGGGGGCCCGCACAAGCGGAGGAACAUGUGGUUUAAUUCGAUGAUACGCGAGGAACCUUACCCGGGCUUAAAUUGCAGAUGAAUUACGGUGAAAGCCGUAAGCCGCAAGGCAUCUGUGAAGGUGCUGCAUGGUUGUCGUCAGCUCGUGCCGUGAGGUGUCGGCUUAAGUGCCAUAACGAGCGCAACCCUUGUUGUCAGUUACUAACAGGUUCCGCUGAGGACUCUGACAAGACUGCCAUCGUAAGAUGUGAGGAAGGUGGGGAUGACGUCAAAUCAGCACGGCCCUUACGUCCGGGGCUACACACGUGUUACAAUGGGGGGUACAGAGGGCCGCUACCACGCGAGUGGAUGCCAAUCCCCAAAACCUCUCUCAGUUCGGACUGGAGUCUGCAACCCGACUCCACGAAGCUGGAUUCGCUAGUAAUCGCGCAUCAGCCACGGCGCGGUGAAUACGUUCCCGGGCCUUGUACACACCGCCCGUCAAGCCAUGGGAGCCGGGGGUACCUGAAGUGCGUAACCGCGAGGAGCGCCCUAGGGUAAAACUGGUGACUGGGGC
RNAcentral lists this ribosomal RNA (1444 nucleotides) under uncultured organism. RNAcentral's name for it is "16S ribosomal RNA". It matches the Rfam family "Bacterial small subunit ribosomal RNA". The record is from RNAcentral.